CCUACGGGAGGCAGCAGUGGGGGAUAUUGCACAAUGGGGGAAACCCUGAUGCAGCGACGCCGCGUGUGGGAAGACGGUCCUCUGGAUUGUAAACCACUGUCCCCAGGGACGGAGAUGACGGUACCUGGGGAGGAUGCCCCGGCUAACUACGUGCAAGCAGCCGCGGUAAAACGCAGGGCGCGAGCGUUGUCCGGAAUUACUGGGUGAAAAGGGAGCGUAGGCGGGACUGCAAGUUGGGGGGCAAAGCUACCGGCUCAACCGGUAGCCGCACUCAAAACUGCAGUUCUUGAGUGAAGUAGAGGCAGGCGGAAUUCCUAGUGUAGCGGUGAAAUGCGUAGAUAUUAGGAGGAACACCAGUGGCGAAGGCGGCCUGCUGGGCUUUUACUGACGCUGAGGCUCGAAAGUGUGGGGAGCAAACAGGAUUAGAUACCCCUGUAGUC
This 440-nucleotide ribosomal RNA is filed under the name uncultured bacterium. RNAcentral's name for it is "partial 16S ribosomal RNA". It matches the Rfam family "Bacterial small subunit ribosomal RNA", at positions 338 to 795 of the family's 1533-position model. The record is from RNAcentral.